RNAcentral lists this ribosomal RNA (413 nucleotides) under Discoglossus galganoi (Iberian painted frog). Its description in RNAcentral is "partial 16S ribosomal RNA". It matches the Rfam family "Archaeal large subunit ribosomal RNA", at positions 1934 to 2457 of the family's 2987-position model. The record is from RNAcentral. Lineage: Eukaryota; Metazoa; Chordata; Amphibia; Anura; Alytidae.
UGUAUAGGAGGUCCAGCCUGCCCAGUGACGUAAAUGUUUAACGGCCGCGGUAUUCUGACCGUGCAAAGGUAGCGUAAUCACUUGUCUUUUAAAUAAAGACUAGUAUGAAUGGCACCACGAAAGUUCAACUGUCUCCUAUGUCUAAUCAGUGAAACUGAUCUCCCCGUGCAGAAACGGGGAUAUUAACAUAAGACGAGAAGACCCCAUGGAGCUUUAAACUUUAAGCACCCGCUUUACACCAAACCCCCUAUAGGCAUAAUAUGAAAUCAAGCGAACAUGACCCACUGUUUUCGGUUGGGGCGACCACGGAGAAAAGCAUAUCCUCCGAGACGAAAGGGUGUACCACCCUUAACCUAGAGCCACUACUCCAAGUAAUAGAACCUCUAACGCCAUGAUCCAAUUCUUUGAUCAAC